This 56-nucleotide transfer RNA is filed under the name Alcanivorax sp. RNAcentral describes it as "tRNA-Arg". It matches the Rfam family "tRNA", at positions 1 to 53 of the family's 71-position model. Rfam says of the family: Transfer RNA (tRNA) molecules are approximately 80 nucleotides in length. The record is from RNAcentral. Lineage: Bacteria; Pseudomonadati; Pseudomonadota; Gammaproteobacteria; Oceanospirillales; Alcanivoracaceae.
GCGCCCGUAGCUCAGCUGGAUAGAGCGUUGCCCUCCGGAGGCAAAGGUCAGAGGUU